UUCUGCUCGUAGUUGGAUUUCUGUUGUAUAAUCUAUAAUAUUACUAAGGUAUAUAUUAUAUUAUCAACAUCCUUCCUAUUAUAUUUCUAAAUAUAUAGGAAACUUUACUUUGAGAAAAUUAGAGUGCUUAAAGCAGGCAACUGCCUUGAAUACUCCAGCAUGGAAUAAUAAGUAAGGACUUUUUCUUUCUUAUUGGUUCUAGGACAAAUAGUAAAGGU
Molecule: ribosomal RNA, 218 nt
Filed under: Cryptosporidium muris
Lineage: Eukaryota; Apicomplexa; Conoidasida; Eucoccidiorida; Cryptosporidiidae
Description: partial 18S ribosomal RNA
Rfam family: Eukaryotic small subunit ribosomal RNA
Source: RNAcentral